Podarcis lilfordi (Lilford's wall lizard) is the source of this 7681-nucleotide non-coding RNA. The record is from the annotation of a GenBank genome assembly. NCBI's taxonomy places the organism in Eukaryota, Metazoa, Chordata, Lepidosauria, Squamata, Lacertidae.
CUUCACUGAUGCAGCGCCGCCAGUCGUUUAUAUAGAUGAGUAACUAGGAAAGGCGCGACCAAAGACCAAUUAAUUUCAAUGAGGAAGAAUUAAGCACGUGCUUAAUCGACAACAAGGGGACUUACAAGCGCUUCACUUUGACUGGAUCCUGCCCUUUCAGGAAUACAGAGGAGGCAGUAAACUAUAGGUAUUGUUAGGCUGAUACUGUAUCUCUACAUUCUGACGCAGAUAACUGGCAUAGCAAGCAGAGCAUGUUUGUUUGCUUGUUUGUAUGUUUAUUUGUGGAGGAACACAACACAAUCAGACUCAUCAUAAGCAUGAAAAAGGGUGAACGUGUUCAAGUCUCUGUCGCCAAACACAACCACCUAUUGCCAGGUCUUGGCGGGCUAAUCGUCGCCUUCAUUUCAAAGCUGCCGGCUCCCUUUGAUUUUAGCAGCAGCUACUGGGAGGUGUGUUUUGUGGGUGUUUAAAGCCCUUCGUUUGGUGGCCCUACGUGUACCUCUGAGACGGAGUACAUGCGUUCUCCUUUGUCAUUUACAUCCAGGAUUUGUUCCUUUGAAUAUUUAUUCCUUUAUUCCUAUGGCUGCUUUGUAUGGCCCCUCACUGCCCCCAAAAGUUGCACUACCACGCAAAUGCAUGCAGAAUGUGCAAAUAUUUUGCCCCCACUCAGUCAGGAAUUCUCGAGGGACACAAGGGGUGUCGGCAGCAGGACUUUGCUGAUUGUGCAACCUUUAAAGGACAAUUCGGUGGAACUCACUCCUCAACUGCAGUAAAUGGCAGCGCUCUCGCAGAUUUUGAUGGUGAGUCUGGAAGGCGCUCGCUGUUAUUAGGACUGCCUCCUACUCCACCCUAUUUCAUAUAAUAAUAAUACUAAUGAUUCUUUCUUUCUCAAAACCUCACACAGCCUCAUAAUAGAUUAAUAGUUCUUCAUCACAAUGAGAUGAAUUUUCACAUGCCCUUUAAUUAUCAUCUCAUCUCCAGCGAACACUGGUUUUGGAGAAGGUAAAGGGGGGUAUUGGAUACAACUACAAAGAUGGUUCCCCCCCCCCCUUGGGAAGAUUAAUGUUGGCUGUGAUUCUUAAAAGAUCUUCAGAUAUAGCUCAGCUGCUUGCAUAACAACAAUCAACUACCGCAAGGCCUUCAUCACAUCACUUUAUUAAAGGGGGAAAGUAUUUUUAGCCUGUCUGUUUCAGACCCAGCCAACCAUAAACAAAGAUUCUUAAAUGCAAAUACGGUCUUAUUUGGGUUCCAGAAAGGCAAAUGAGAUUUCUAACUUUUGGGCAUGCCAUAAAAGGAGAGUUUUUAAAGCCACCUUCACUCUUAAUUACGGGAAAGCCCUAGCGUUUCCAAAUAUAGGAAAAGGACUCAGUCCAAGUUAAGCGUCAACUUGCUUCUGAGUAAAACUGGAUAGGAUCCGGCUGCAAAAUUUAUAGCUUUCAAGUGAGAGAUAUUUAAACACCUGCUUUAUAGUUAUAGGCAGACACAUUUACUUGGGAAUAAGUAAAUAGGGGUAGGAUGAGGGAGCACAUCUCUCUGAAAUCUAUAGAACUCCAUAGCCCUUAACUCAAGAUAGAAUGUGUGCGCAUUUCCUUUCAAAUUAAGGUUUUUGGGAGUAAUAAUAGAUACACCUUGACAUAACCUCAUGUUGUUGUUUGUUGGUUGGUUGGUUGGUAAGUGAGUGGUUUUCUUUAAUUAAUUCAUCAACUCUGCUGGUUAACAUAAUCUCACAGAAACAAAGGCUGGCUGUAAGAAAUUCUAAGCAAACUCUUAUGGCUCCUGCAAGGAAUACAAAUGUAUCCAUCUUUGUAUCUUUCCUAUCCUUUUCAUCUUUAUUAUCACUCUUGUUAACAACACCAGCGAGGCUUGAUACAUAUAUCUCGUUUAAAUGCAGUCAACCAUGAAGCCACUGCAGUUGGUUGCUACAGACAUAUUAAUUAAUUUAUUCUCUCAACAGUAAAAUAUUGCUGUGUCUCCUUGCUACCAACCAAGUCAUAUAAAAAUCAGGGUUUAUUUUUUUUACCCCCUCUGCAGUUCAUUAGGCUUUACCUAUAAGUUUCCAUUUGAAAUGAUUUGCUUUAAAACUAAUUACUCGUAUUCUAUUUCAUUUCCCAAUCCCGUAGUGUAAGAUGGAUUCAAAGGUGGCGUGGGUGGCAUAUGUUGGUAAACAUUGCUAAUUAUUCCCACUCUGUCUUGAUUGUGUAUUUAUGAACCCACCCAUAUAAAAGGGAGAGAAAAUACUCAGUAAAAGGUGCGCUGGCAUAUUGAUGAUAAUGGCACAUGUUACUUAAAAGAGUGUAAUGUCGCUAGGGACAGUGUAAGAUGAUAAUGUAGCAGCCGAGAUUUUGUUUAGCAGGUUUCCACUUUGAGAAUAAAAUAUUGGACUCACUCACAGCGCAUUCCAAUACACACCUACUCAGAAGUGAGCCUCACUGAGGUUAGGCAACGUGGUGCCCUCCAGGUGUGGUGGACUGCCAAAGCCUAUCAGCCCAAGGCAGCAUGCCCAAUGGUCAGGGAUGAUGGGAGUUGGAGUCCAACUUCUGCAGGACGAUUCAUGGUGUGUAUAGGACUGCAGUCUCAGGGUGAGGAAGAAGAGAAUGAGGACCAGAAUCGCACACUGGGAUGACAACAGAAGGCCCAAGCAUAAGCUAGCCCUGCACAAUGUCUACAGUGCUCCAGGUGUAUUCAGAAAAGACUGUUUUUGGGCCAUGGCUUCUAGGGAAUUUCAGGGACCUCUGUUUGCCUAAUCCAGGGGUAGGCAACCUAAGGCCCAGGGGCCAGAUGCGGCCCAAUCGCCUUCUCAAUCUGGCUCGUGGACAGUCCAGGAAUCAGUGUGUUUUUACAUGAGUAGAAUGUGUGCUUUUAUUUAAAAUGCAUCUCUGGGUUAUUUGUGGGGCAUAGGAAUUUGUUCAUCCCCCCCCAAAAAAAUAUAGUCUGGCCCCCCACAUGGUCUGAGGGAUGGUGGAAAGGUUGCUGACCCCUGGCCCUAAUCCCUGAGUAAAUGCACUGGCACAUAGCUUCAAUUGCAAUCUCACUUCCAAACAAGUGGGCAGGGUAGACCCCUUGCCAGGGGACCUAGUUGAUGGUUACACCUCCUGGGCUGAUACACUUCCUUAAUCCCAAUGGCAAGGAUUUGAUCCUCUGUUUUUGCAUUUGCUGAAGAGAAGUUAAGCCCACAUCAGUGCUGUUAAGGUAUUUAUUUACCCCUCCAGGGAUAUCUCUUCUGGUGUGGCUGAGGACUAGUAUAGAAAUAAAAUCAGAAAUGAGGGGAAAGUAGAUGUUGCUUUCAUUAAGCAACAUCUAAGAGUCCUCUCUGAUGUGGUUUUAAGCUCUUCUCAUGUGUUAGCCCUCUCAAAUGGAAAACAAUGGGACUUAAAGUGUGUUUAACUCUGACUGGAUAGGAUCUAUCAUUAUCAUGAUGAAAAAUCCAAGAAAAGGUAACCACUUUAAAGUCCUGUUGAUUACGGUAGGGUAAUCAGAGUUAAACACCUGAUUAACUCAAAGAGCUUUUAAUUUUGAGUAGAUAGUACCCGUUUGUGUAACUAACUCUACUACUACCACAUUGCACCUAUGUGAUAGUAUACCUAGGGUGCCAUUAAUAUAGGGUGCUAUAUUAAUAUUUACAUAAUAUUAUGUAAAUAUUCAUUUUUAAGCUUCCCGUUUAUAAAGGUUGGAGAGAUUAAUAAUGAGGGCGAUAAUAUUUGCUCCGAAACACGUUUGGUUGUCGAUGCCUGGCUCCAAUCUUCUGAUCGCCCUUUGCUAUUCGGUGUCCCGAAAGAAGAUGCAUUCCUAACAAAGCCUAUCCGUUUUCGAAAAUAGACACAGUUUGUACGUGGCAAAUGGCGCCUAGUGUCAUACACGAGCGAAUGACCCUAAAUAAUGGAAUUUCAUUUUUUUAAUGCCCUUCACGAGGAGAUUUGUUAUGUUAUCUUUUUUGCUUUCUCUUCAGUCUGCGGGGUCUUUCCAAAAUACCAGAAGAGCAUGGGAAUGUUUGCAAAACAUUUUUGGCUGCAGCCGUUGACGGGAUGAAAGCCAAGGCAAGGGAAGAGACAGACAGAUAGCUUUGCUGCAGAUCCUGCGUGAAGUCCAAGACCAAGGCUUGCUGACCCCCAAGCGAGGGACCAUUUGUCAAGAGGGAAGACAUCCCGUGCGCCCGGGAAACCGCGAGAAACAGUAUUUCAAUUGUCUUAUAUAUGCUUCAAAAUAGCACCGAAUAUGAAUUCUCAGUAAGUAGAUAUGUGGCAGUCACUGCAGAGGCUAAGCUUACCGAAAUAUAAGAUAGAUACAGGGAUUAGAGAGAGAGACAGACAGAUGGAUAAGAUGGACAGACAGAAAGCGGAGGCAGGCCAACCAGUAUUCCACAUUUGCACAUUAGCACGAGACAAUGGCGUUUUAAUAAUUUAAAAUAAAAUAUUUUUUUAAUCACUGGCUUGCGCUUUUUAAAAAUAAAAAUAAAAAAAAUCCAUGCUAACAUUUCCCUACUUGGUAACUUGAAGGAAAUGUGUCGGAUACUUGUUAGCAUUGUUAUCCGGAUCAUAAAAACUGCCUUCUUACUUGGGAACAAGUUCCAUUGGAAUAACUAUGCAUAAUGCGAUAUGCUGCUGCUGUUGGUGGUGUAAUAAGGAGGAAAAGGACAUCCUGUUAAACCAGUCCUGAAUGUUGGAUGGUAGUUGUGGUGGUGAUGCGUGUGGAGCUUACCUGAUACUGGCGAGCGAGCAAAACACAUCGCUGGGGUUUUCUUGGGACUAGCAAGCAUCGCUUCAGAUCUAUAAUAUAUAAUUCCGCUUUGCACCAUCUUUCUGCACUGAACAAUGACUAUUAUGUGCAUAUGUUCAGCCCCAGAGGGUAAAUUCUCUACCCCCCCCGAUAACACAUAAAACAUUUGCUCACAACCCUUUCGGUAUAGAGAACACCUAUAGUAAAAUAAUAAUAAUAAGGAUAAGGAUAAAGUAUUACUUGUUUUUGGAUCAAGCCUAUGCGCUUUUGCAUAUUUCCCAUAAUUUUGGAAUAAUUUGCACUGCUGAAAUACAACUUAACUGGGUGUGUGCCUGUCGUUGGGUUUUCCCCCCCUUAUUCUCUUGAAGGCAGAAUUAUUCUUUGCAAUUCAGGAGAUGGGGAUAUACUUUCCGCUUCUUAAUGAAUUCAUUUUAAAGCCAUAGCUAUGAAAUACACCCCUAUAUAAAAAAAGCAGAAGCAGAAGCAGCAAGCAAGCUGAGGAACAAUACGCACUUUUACUGCGAGCAACAAUUUGUCCUAGCCACUCACUGGUAAUAAAUAAGUUUUAUCUAUUUGGGUGAGUGUUUAAGCGUCUUUGGAACCAAGCAUUCCCUCUUCAAGGUGAACCGAUCCACAAUUUUCUACACAAUUUAUGCCUCUAUAUACAAUCCAGGCUUGUUGGAGAUGAUCCAGAACCCUAUUCACUUCUGUGGAGCCCUUAACAGUCCUCAUAUGACAGCCAACGUUCCGUGCACACCUCCAGUAAAAGAGGCAGAAAUGAUAUUUUUGGUGGGUACUUCUUUCGAAGAAAUGAGAGUGAAAAAAGAAAAGAGAAACCUUGUGAGUGAAAUCUAUAUCCUUUUGAAGCCAAGGGCAAGUCUCCAAUUGAUUUUAAUGGCGGUGAAUGACAGCUCUUGAAAGCACGGUGGGGAGUGAUUCAGUGAGAUGGGGACCCCUAAAGAGAUGCACUUGAAAGAAAGUCCUACAGAGAUACACCAAGGUCCUCUGCGUCCUUACACAGAGGUAAGCCCUACUUAGUUGAAUGCAGGUUACUCCCUAGUAAAGGGUGCAUAGAGACGGUAUUACUACUACUGCCGCUGCUAGCUCUUUUGAGUUUUCAGAGCACUUAAAUCCCCACAACAACCUUGUACGGUAGGUCAGUGUUAUUAAAGGUGAGCAGGGUGAGGUUGCCAAGUUCGUAGCUUGCCUAGCGCCUGCUAGGCUGUAACGCUACACAAAUUUGCCUGCGAGUUAAUUCCACUGAACAUAAUGGGGCUUACUUCUCAGUAGGCAUGUAGAUAAUUGAACUCUUAAGGACCGCAGGGAGGUUUGUACCAGGGACUAGCCCUCAGCGAAACUUGCUUCCAGAUAAGCACCUUAGGCUCGAAUUACUGCAAGGAAAAAACCGCACAUAAAGUUUUCUGCGCUAGGGGAAUCAAGAGUUACCUAUCUAUACCUCGAGACAUCCAUAGCCGCCAUUAUUAGCAUUUAAAUGAAUUUGUGCUGGAUUCUUAAGGGGAACAGUGCGAAUAUUAGAGGAGUCGGUGAAUGUUUAAAGGAUCAGGGCCCCGUUGUCUUCCAACUUCCCAUAGAUCUCAAUUACUCUUGAUGUAUCAUAGAAAUAGUUUCCCUUGAAAUGGAUAUUACAUCCUAAAAGCUUCUGGGCUCAUAUCCAGCCCAGGUACUGAACUAUAUCGAGUUCCCAAUGUAGGAUGUUCACCUACAAAGGCACUAUAGCCCUAUGAACAAAGAAGCAACGUUUUAUAACAUUCGUGUCAUUAAAUUUUAACUCAUAGCCCGCUGUUAUAAUUUCUUCCUGGACUUUAUGAAGGAUUUCCUAUUAAUUUCGCGCGCAAACACAAACACCCACCCGCUGCUCCACCCAGUAUUUUAAAUGCGUGCGAUGGGGUCAGAGCUGAAUUCAAUCGGAUGCUGUUGCCGACAAAUAAGAGGAGGCUGACCAAACCUGGUAUGUUCACCUUUUAAAUAACAUUAUGCACACACAAUAUACAAAUCAAUGCAUCCCCCAUGAUCCGUCUCUGCUACCGAUACGUGUGCGAGUGUCGUUUGGUCACAAUUGCAGCUCCUGCACACCACAAGCCAAGCAAGCCUCUCUGGCGCGUCAAUAUUGUGUAUGUUCAGAAGGGGGCGUCGCGGGUUGGGGGGAGGAGAGAGGAGUUAGCAAACUACAUCACCGAUCUCUAACAAUUGCCUUCGCGCAAUCUCUUUCUUUCCUUAAUGCACCUAUACCAUAAGAACACAGGACCUCUUUGCAAGGAAGUGCCUUCUUCUAAUAACAGGACUAAAGAAAGCGGAGAGAAAAGACUGGCAUAAGCUCACACCUAUCCUAUUCCCACUUAUUAAAAGCCGAAGGCGCAAAGGAUUCUACAUGGGGAUGAGCAGUUCUUGAUCCGCUUUUUGGAGAUGGUCUCUCCCUCCUCCCCUUCACAAUCCACUUAUUGAUCUUUUAAAAGGUUUUUGGCGUGCGUGCGCCUGCCGGUGUGUGUAUUAACGCAUUGCUCCAGCCGCCACUAAACUUUAUGGUUGAACCGAAGACCUGAAAGGUGGAUAAAGCCAUUACAUGUAAAUCUUCCUUUCCAGAGGAAGAUUCCAUCUCUCUCUCUCGCUCUCUCCAUACAUACGUACAUACAUACAUACAUACACCCCCAUUCGCAACCACUCAUACAACCUACACAAUUAAUGAAAUUUAAAUUGACUCUGUGGAAUCGCUGCUAUAAAGGCACCUGGCUGGAUAUUCAGAAGAGAGAAUAAAACACGAAGCCAACGGGAGGAAUUAAAUAUGGGCUUAUUGAAGAAGAUCGAAUCCAAGGCUCGUGAGGGUUUUUGUGUUUUGUUUUGGAGGUGGGGUAUUUGUUUUGUUUUUGUUUAUAUUACAAGAGUUGCAGGUUUAAAUUAAAGUGUCUCUUAAUUUUUUUAAAAAAAACAUCCAUGUCAUUUUAAAUAAAUA